AAAAAACCAAUUCUCCGGUUUCCGUGUCCAAUGUUUGACCAUCCGUCUUAUUUGAAAAAUUUUCAGAAAAUUAGAAAAAAAAUUAGUCACACGUAAAGUACUAUUCAUGAUUUAUCAUCUAAUAAAAACAAAAAUAUCAAUCGUAAAAAUUUUUUGAAUAAGACGAAAAGUCAAAAAUUGUAGGUCAAAAGUGAAAGAUUGGUUUAUU
Molecule: non-coding RNA, 208 nt
Organism: Oryza brachyantha (malo sina)
Lineage: Eukaryota; Viridiplantae; Streptophyta; Magnoliopsida; Poales; Poaceae
Source: Rfam